UUAAUAUACUGCUACUACUAUUAAUAAUAAUAUAAUCAAAAUGAUCAUCAUCGUCGUCACCAACAACAGCAACAAAUCAUCAUUGUUGUCGACAUCAUCAUUAUCAUCACAUCAUAAAUGGUGGCCGGUGGUGACUCAAGAGCUGCUACUGCUGCUGUUUCGACGACGGCUAGUGCUGGCUCAAUGCGACCACCAUUGGCAGUGGCUUGACGCCAUAAUUGCUCUACGAAUUGGAUUAGCUAGAGAUGAAAUAUGGGGUUUAGUUUGAUUUUCAUCAUUUUUUUAUUUUUUAAUUAUAUUUAAAUAAAGGAUAAAAUGAAAAUUAGGGGAAAAAAAGUCAUUUUCGGAAAUGGGUUUUGAUUCUAAAUCCUCCUUGGGAAUCAAAACUGUGAAAAUAAUUCCCUAAUUUAUGGGCGCCACACCAUUUUCUUUUUAAUUCUAAAUCUUGAUUUUGUAAGUAAACGCGUUAUUAAUUCCGAUUUCAGAAUCCCAUUCCAAUUGCUAGUAAAUAAACACACCAUAAGGAUAACAAUAAAAGCUGAAAUAUGAGAGGAAAAAAAUGUUAUUCUCCCUUGGAGAAAUAAUCCCAUGAGAAUUGGUAUAGAUUGUUUUCACCAGAUUUAUUGCUGAAAUAGUGAAAUUCCACGAGCACCUUUCUUUUUGUUUAAUAGUAUAUUACAAUUUGCUAGUAAUAAUUACUAUAAAGAAAAUAGGUCAAAAUUCUGCUUAGAUAGCUUUAUUAAGACAGAACUUGAAUGUUUGGAUUAAAAUCUCCCUCUUAAUGUUUGAAAAAAAAAAGAUAUUUCCCACGAUACACACGAUCAAGCAUGCAAAUUGUGCUAUAUUAAAACGAAUUCAGUCGUAAAAAAAAAAGUAAAUUCACUUGAAAGUUCAUCACAAUUACAAAUAUCUAUAAUGAACAGUUAAGGAGAGUGGCUAUAGGUGCGUCCCAGCAAAACAAGUGAUUGGAGGUUGAUUUAAGUGGGCCUAUUACUCCAUUUUGUAAAGGACCUAUACCUUACUUACUGAUGACGUAAGAUAGCAAAAGAUAGCUAACUCUACAGUUAAGUAGUGUCUUAAUUCUUAUAAUAAAGGGUUAUAAGACAAAUCCUAGGAUAAGAUAACUCCAUUUUGACAGUGAAAUAAUUUCUUAUCUAUAUUAGUGGUCCGUGUUCUAUCCGCGUUAGAAACCACUAUAAGUAAUUUCACUCCUAUUUAUCUCAUUAUAUUACUCUUACGUGUUUUUGAUGGUAAUCGAUUUUAACUUUUUGUAUGACAAUGAUCUUUUUCAGCAAUCGUUCAUUAGUGUUAACAGACUUCUUUAAAUACUUAAUAUUUAAUAUUGUGGCGGCUUGGUCCAGUGACUAGAGUUACUCUCUUACAAAUGUGAGAGAAAUGGUUCGAACCCUUACAAAUGUAUUAUAAAGAUUUAAUUUAAAUUUUCUUUCUCCAAAUUUGAGCGAAUGUAGUCUUUCUCUCAUAAGUGGAGUUUAUUCUUCAAAUAUUUGAGAGGAUUAAAAUUUAGACAAUACUAUAUAAGAUGUGAUGUAA
RNAcentral lists this long non-coding RNA (1551 nucleotides) under Citrus x clementina. RNAcentral's name for it is "Citrus clementina (C. clementina) long non-coding RNA (CCLE_LNC001096)". The record is from RNAcentral. Lineage: Eukaryota; Viridiplantae; Streptophyta; Magnoliopsida; Sapindales; Rutaceae.